UGCUAACAUCAGUAAAGUUAUUCAUCUCUAUAGCAGGAUUUGGAUCGUGGUCAUAGAGAGUGGACUCUGCUUUUCUGGCUGGCUAACCACACAGGCUCUGAGAGGAUGAUACUGAAUAUAAAGAGAACUCAAAUUGAUUGUUAUCCAUAUCAGUUCCCAACUCACCACAAAGCUGUUGCAAGGAAGCAGAAGUGCAUCAUCAAAGCAGGAGACUGGGAUGAUAGCAGGCUGUAUUCUCUGACAGACACCUAUGAAUGCAUUUGUUGGGAGUUGUUGGUACCUUUCCCACUCAGAGUUUACAAGCCUGAAACAAGAAUCAAGAUGAACCUUCCAAUAUAAUGCAAUCCACCAGCACAGCAUAAUAUCUUGAAACCUACAAGUAACAUCACAGACCUCAUAAAGAGAUCUUGCCAAGGGCCACAAGGAGCAGGAG
RNAcentral lists this long non-coding RNA (433 nucleotides) under Anser brachyrhynchus (Pink-footed goose). Its description in RNAcentral is "lncRNA (ENSABRG00000005357.1)". Lineage: Eukaryota; Metazoa; Chordata; Aves; Anseriformes; Anatidae. The record is from RNAcentral.